This 468-nucleotide ribosomal RNA is filed under the name uncultured bacterium. Its description in RNAcentral is "partial 16S ribosomal RNA". It matches the Rfam family "Bacterial small subunit ribosomal RNA", at positions 28 to 507 of the family's 1533-position model. The record is from RNAcentral.
GACGAACGCUGGCGGCGUGCUUAACACAUGCAAGUCGAACGGAAAGGCCCUGCUUUUGUGGGGUGCUCGAGUGGCGAACGGGUGAGUAACACGUGAGUAACCUGCCCUUGACUUUGGGAUAACUUCAGGAAACUGGGGCUAAUACCGGAUAGGAGCUCCUGCUGCAUGGUGGGGGUUGGAAAGUUUCGGCGGUUGGGGAUGGACUCGCGGCUUAUCAGCUUGUUGGUGGGGUAGUGGCUUACCAAGGCUUUGACGGGUAGCCGGCCUGAGAGGGUGACCGGCCACAUUGGGACUGAGAUACGGCCCAGACUCCUACGGGAGGCAGCAGUGGGGAAUAUUGCACAAUGGGCGGAAGCCUGAUGCAGCAACGCCGCGUGCGGGAUGACGGCCUUCGGGUUGUAAACCGCUUUCGCCUGUGACGAAGCGUGAGUGACGGUAACGGGUAAAGAUGCACCGGCUAACUACGUG